Molecule: ribosomal RNA, 1518 nt
Filed under: Glaesserella parasuis
Lineage: Bacteria; Pseudomonadati; Pseudomonadota; Gammaproteobacteria; Pasteurellales; Pasteurellaceae
Description: partial 23S ribosomal RNA
Source: RNAcentral
GGUUAAGUGACUAAGCGUACACGGUGGAUGCCUAGGCAAUCAGAGGCGAAGAAGGACGUGCUAAUCUGCGAAAAGCUUGGAUGAGUUGAUAAGAAGCGUUUAAUCCAAGAUAUCCGAAUGGGGAAACCCAGUAGAUGAAGAAUCUACUAUCAACAGAUGAAUACAUAGUCUGUUGAGGCAAACCGGGAGAACUGAAACAUCUAAGUACCCCGAGGAAAAGAAAUCAACCGAGAUUUUGUAAGUAGCGGCGAGCGAAAGCGAAAGAGCCAGUGAGUGAUAGCAGCAAAGACAGAAGAAUUGGCUGGGAAGCCAAGCGACACAGGGUGAUAGCCCCGUAUUCGAAGUUUUUGUUGUGGUACUAAGCUAACGAUAAGUAGGGCGGGACACGAGAAAUCCUGUUUGAAGAUGGGGGGACCAUCCUCCAAGGCUAAAUACUCCUGAUUGACCGAUAGUGAACCAGUACUGUGAAGGAAAGGCGAAAAGAACCCCAGUGAGGGGAGUGAAAUAGAACCUGAAACCGUGUACGUACAAGCAGUGGGAGCCCUUUGGGGUGACUGCGUACCUUUUGUAUAAUGGGUCAGCGACUUAUAUUUUGUAGCGAGGUUAACUGAAUAAGGGAGCCGAAGGGAAACCGAGUCUUAACUGGGCGGAUAGUUGCAAGGUAUAGACCCGAAACCCGGUGAUCUAGCCAUGGGCAGGUUGAAGGUUGGGUAACACUAACUGGAGGACCGAACCGACUAAUGUUGAAAAAUUAGCGGAUGACUUGUGGCUGGGGGUGAAAGGCCAAUCAAACCGGGAGAUAGCUGGUUCUCCCCGAAAUCUAUUUAGGUAGAGCCUUAUGUGAAUACCUUCGGGGGUAGAGCACUGUUUCGGCUAGGGGUCCAUCCCGGAUUACCAACCCGAUGCAAACUGCGAAUACCGAAGAGUAAUGCAUAGGAGACACACGGUGGGUGCUAACGUCCAUCGUGGAGAGGGAAACAACCCAGACCGCCAGCUAAGGUCCCAAAGUCUAUAUUAAGUGGGAAACGAAGUGGGAAGGCUUAGACAGCUAGGAUGUUGGCUUAGAAGCAGCCAUCAUUUAAAGAAAGCGUAAUAGCUCACUAGUCGAGUCGGCCUGCGCGGAAGAUGUAACGGGGCUAAAAUAUAGCACCGAAGCUGCGGCAUCAGGCGUAUCACUAAUACGCCUUACGAUUAACAACAUCGAAUGAAGUGAAACGGAAUGAGAUGUUGGUCAAGCAACCCGAACGUUGAGUCGGAAAGUAAUCGAAGAGAGGAUUAUUAGUGAUACGCCUGUUGGGUAGGGGAGCGUUGUGUAAGYSGAUGAAGGUGKAUUGAGAAGUMUGCUGGASRUAUCACAAGUGCGAAUGCUGACAUAAGUAACGAUAAAACGAGUGAAAAACUCGUUCGCCGGAAGACCAAGGGUUCCUGUCCAACGUUAAUCGGGGCAGGGUGAGUCGGCCCCUAAGGCGAGGCUGAAAAGCGUAGUYGAUGGGAAACGGGUUAAUAUUCCCGUACUUG